This 495-nucleotide long non-coding RNA is filed under the name Eucalyptus grandis. RNAcentral describes it as "long non-coding RNA (EGRA_LNC001141)". Lineage: Eukaryota; Viridiplantae; Streptophyta; Magnoliopsida; Myrtales; Myrtaceae. The record is from RNAcentral.
UCGAUGAUGUUGAGAUUCAGCAAUUAACCCCCAACCGAAGAAGGGCAAGAAAGAACAGAGAACAAGCAACUGAAGCUCAAUGAUAAUCCGGAUCGUGCAAGAGAGUAAAUUUAAGCUGCAAUCGACGAACUACAAUAUGUAAAAUUAUUAACUAGAAUCGUUGCACGAUUGAGAAUUUACAGGGCGGCGCAGCCUAGCAGGCCGGCGUGGUCGUCCUCAGAUGGUGCAGCCGCAGAAAGAGACGAAGAAACAGAGCAUGGCUACCAGCGCCAGUGACUCCAGCACCGUGACGAGCGUCCACAGCACGUCGUCCACCACCAGGUCGAGCCGCCUGAAGCUCCACCACGCCGUCAGGUGCGACAGCCCCUGCCCCGGCCACCGCAGGAUCGAUGGCGGAAGCGGGAUCUGAAUCCCUGGCCACCGGAAAGCUGUCAGCGAUGCGGACCGUCCCGGUUGCAUCUCUCCUUCCUUCCUUUCCCUCUCUCCCCUGUUUCG